RNAcentral lists this ribosomal RNA (422 nucleotides) under uncultured bacterium. RNAcentral describes it as "bacterial SSU rRNA". It matches the Rfam family "Bacterial small subunit ribosomal RNA", at positions 356 to 774 of the family's 1533-position model. The record is from RNAcentral.
GAGGAAUAUUGGUCAAUGGGCGCGAGCCUGAACCAGCCAAGUAGCGUGAAGGAUGAAGGUCCUAUGGAUUGUAAACUUCUUUUAUAGCAGAAUAAAGUGACCCACGUGUGGGUUUUUGUAUGUAUGCUAUGAAUAAGGAUCGGCUAACUCCGUGCCAGCAGCCGCGGUAAUACGGAGGAUCCGAGCGUUAUCCGGAUUUAUUGGGUUUAAAGGGUGCGUAGGCGGAAAGAUAAGUCAGCCUGUGAAAGUUGGCGGCUCAACCGUAAAAUUGCAGUUGAUACUGUUUUUCUUGAGUGUACAUAAGNUAGGCGGAAUUCGUGGUGUAGCGGUGAAAUGCUUAGAUAUCACGAAGAACUCCGAUUGCGAAGGCAGCUUACCGGUGUACAACUGACGCUGAUGCACGAAAGUGUGGGUAUCAAACA